GACGAACGCUGGCGGCGUGCCUAAUACAUGCAAGUCGAGCGCAGGAAGCCGUCUGAACCCUUCGGGGGGACGACGGUGGAAUGAGCGGCGGACGGGUGAGUAACACGUAAAGAACCUGCCCAUAGGUCUGGGAUAACCACGAGAAAUCGGGGCUAAUACCGGAUGUGUCAUCGGACCGCAUGGUCCGCUGAUGAAAGGCGCUCCGGCGUCGCCCAUGGAUGGCUUUGCGGUGCAUUAGCUAGUUGGUGGGGUAACGGCCCACCAAGGCGACGAGGCCUAGCCGACCUGAGAGGGUGAUCGGCCACACUGGGACUGAGGCACGGCCCAGACUCCUACGGGGGGCAGCAGUAGGGAAUCUUCCACAAUGGACGAAAGUCUGAUGGAGCAACGCCGCGUGAACGAUGAAGGCUUUCGGGUCGUAAAGUUCUGUUGUAAGGGAAGAACAAGUGCCGCAGGCAAUGGCGGCACCUUGACGGUACCUUGCGAGAAAGCCACGGCUAACUACGUGCCAGCCGCCGCGGUAA
Molecule: ribosomal RNA, 524 nt
Filed under: uncultured bacterium
Lineage: Bacteria
Description: partial 16S ribosomal RNA
Rfam family: Bacterial small subunit ribosomal RNA
Source: RNAcentral